CCGGCGCACGGGUGAGUAACACGUAUGCAAUCCACCUGUAACAGGGGGAUAACCCGGAGAAAUCCGGACUAAUACCCCAUAAUAUGGGCGCUCCGCAUGGAGAGCCCAUUAAAGAGAGCAAUUUUGGUUACAGACGAGCAUACGCUCCAUUAGCCAGUUGGCGGGGUAACGGCCCACCAAGGCGACGAUGGAUAGGGGUUCUGAGAGGAAGGUCCCCCACAUUGGAACUGAGACACGGUCCAA
Molecule: ribosomal RNA, 243 nt
Filed under: uncultured bacterium
Lineage: Bacteria
Description: partial 16S ribosomal RNA
Rfam family: Bacterial small subunit ribosomal RNA
Source: RNAcentral